This 230-nucleotide ribosomal RNA is filed under the name uncultured bacterium. RNAcentral's name for it is "partial 16S ribosomal RNA". It matches the Rfam family "Bacterial small subunit ribosomal RNA", at positions 563 to 791 of the family's 1533-position model. The record is from RNAcentral.
AAGGGUGCGUAGGCGGUUUAUUAAGUCAGUGGUGAAAGACGGUCGCUCAACGAUUGCAGUGCCAUUGAUACUGGUAGACUUGAGUGGGAUUGAGGUAGCUGGAAUGGAUAGUGUAGCGGUAGAAAUGCAUAGAUAUUAUCCAGAACACCAAUUGCGUAGGCAAGUUACUAAGUCUCAACUGACGCUGAGGCACGAAAGUGUGGGUAUCAAACAGGAUUAGAUACCCUAGU